AGGUUGUUCAGGAGGGACACCUGGCUGUCACGGCGCUUCACGCUUGGUGCCUGCCACCCCGCGAACUGCCCGCACUAUGGCCGCCCCGCCGCAGCUGCGGACUCUGCUCCUUGCGGUCAACGCACUCUUGCGCAAGCGCCGCUACCACGCUGCGUUGGCCAUGAUUAAGGGCUUCCGGAACGGAGCAGUCUACGGAGUCAAAAUCCGGGCCCCUCAUGCCCUGGUCAUGACCUUUCUCUUCCGGAGUGGCAGAUCAACAUGUACCUGUUAUCUCGCCUCCUGUUUGCCCUGUGCCGCCUGGGUUUGGACAAGGGCUACCUCCCCGAGCCCAGAUGGGACCCGUACCCACUGUUCUCGGGUUUGGUGUGGGGGCUGGUGCUGUGGCUCUUUGAGUACCACCGGCCCACCCUGCAGCCCUCGCUGCAGUCCUCCAUGACCUACCUGUACGAGGACAGCAACACGUGGCACGACCUCUCAGACUUCCUCCUCUACAACAAGAAGAAAUAACUCGGCCCAAAGUGCUUUUGGGGACUCUGGCGCUUGCCAGCCAUGGCUGCAGAUUGGCUCCAUCAGCGAAUCCCCCAGAAGAUCCUGCCUGUUCAAGAUCUGAGGUCUCAGACUCUAGCUUUUCUCAGCCUGGGGUCCCGCUGGCCAAAGUGAAAACACUGAUCUUCAAGUCCCAGUAGGUACUCUUGAAUGGUAGAAUAAGCCACCGAAUCAGGCCGCCGAGCCUUGGCCACGGGGACAGCCGUGCUGCUGACCCUGUGAGACCCGGGCCCCAGGGGUCAUCGAGCUCAGAGGAGGGCGCUGAAGUCUGUUUCUGGUGGGUAUGUUCUUCGGCCGUUCUUCUGUAACCGAGGGCUCUGGCUGGUGGGUGGUUGGUUGCAAAUGUGUUUUUAGAAAAUCCUCAGUUCCUUGUCUUAGAUGUUCUGUUGGAGAAGCUCUAGAGUUUCCACUGUCCAGUAGAAACAUGAUGUGAGUCAUAUAUGUGAUUGACAUUUUUUUAGUAGCCACAUUUUUUUAAAAAGUAGAAAGAAUCAGGUGAGAUUAAGGUUAAUUAUAUCUUUUAAGCCAAUAUUUUUCAAACAUCAGCAUUUCAAUGUGUAAUAAAUCUAAAAAUCAAUGAGAUAGUUUACAUUCUUUUCUCUUGUACUAAGUCACCAAAGCAGGUGUGUGUUUUGCACCUCCAGCCUUUCUCCACUGCAACCAGCCAUGUUCUAGGUGCUCAGCAGCCCUGUGUGGCUAGUGGCUACUGUAUUGGACUAUGCAUAUAUAAAACCGUCUAUCCUCACAGAAAAUUCUAGUGGACAGUGCAGGUGUAGAGCUAGAGGGCAUGGGUUUGAGUCCCCAUUCCACCACUGUGUGGAAGUUCUUAACCUUGGGGAAGGUUCUUAACCUCUCAGAGCCUCAGUUUCUAGUAAAGUGAGGAUAACCAUUGAAAUACCUAGUGUCCACAUUGGAUUUAUAUAACUACCAAGGCUGCUGCUUCUACUCACGACUUUUGUGUUGAGAGCUCCUACUUCCUCCUGGGUGCUGUGCACGUAUUAUUUUUAAUUCACACAGUGAUGACCUCUCAGGUACGCAUUUGGAUCCCCAUUUCACAGAUGUGGAAACUGAGGAUCAGAGAGGAGUGACUUGCCCAAGGUAAUACAACUAGUAUAACAGCCAAGUCAGGGUUUGAGGCCAGACUUAGGUGAUUUCAAAGUUCCUGUCUUCUUCAGUGCCUUACUUACUUUAUUUAUUUAUUUUUAUUUUUUAUUUUUUGUCUUUUUAGGGCCACACCCGCAGCAUAUGGAGAUUCCCAGGCUAGGGGUUGAAUUGGAGCUGUAGCUGCCUGCCUACACCAUGGCUCGCGGCAAUGCCAGAUCCUUAACCCACUGAGUGAGGCCAGGGAUCGAACCCAUGUCCUCGUGGAUAUUAGUUGGGCUCAUUAACCACUGAGCCACAGUGGGAACUCCCACUCAGUGCCUUACUUUAAAUUUAGACACCUAAGCUAUGCUAUGCAAAUGUUGGCUAGUUAUAGGGGUACAAAUGCAAAUGCCUCUAAGGACCUGGUGGGUGGCAUAAACAAUAAUGUUUCGGGUGCCAGGCAGGAGGGCGUGAUGGAAACAUAGUGAAGUGGAGACUUGUGUGCCAGACUGAUUUUUUUUUUUUUUUUGCCGAACCUUGGCAUGUGAAAGUUCCCAGGCCAGGGAUCGAACCCAUGCCACAACAGUGACACGAGGCUGCUGCAAUGACAACAUUAGAUUUAACCCACUGCACCACCUGGGAAUUACAUAGACUGAUUUUAAAAUCUCCAAGCUGGACAAAUGAAACACACCCUAGGAGAGUUGGCCCAUGGGCCACCAAUUUGAGUAGGAACACGUCAAUCUCUUUUGAUAUUUUGGAAGUUACUAGUAGAAUAUUCACAUGAGUCACUGGAGAGCUGAUUAAAAUACAGGCUCUGACUCAGAGUGUUUGGCAUAGGGCCUGAGAUUCUGUAUUUCUCGUAGGCUCCCAGGUGACACUGCUGUUCUCUGAGCUACACCCUGAGUCACAAGGUGCUGGGGAAUGAUAUGGGGCCAGUAUCCCAUGUGACAAAUGAGGAAACUAAGUCACAGAGCUCUUAAGUAAUAGAAGUGGGAUUCAGUUGUGCUGUGUUCUCAGGCACAAUGUACUGCAAGCUUAGAGAAGGGGAUCUUUGAGGAGGGGGAGUGUACCAGGGAUCAGAUCCAAGCCACAUUUUCAACCUAUGCCAUAGCUGUAGCAACAGUGGAUCCUUUAAACCACUGUGCUGGCCUGGGGAUUGAACCUGGGUCUUGGCUCUGCCGGGAUGCUGCCGAUCCCAUUGCACCAUUGAGCUCCCAGAGCAGGGGGGAUCUUGAAGUUCCCCUUAGUUCACUCUGCGGAGGCUGAAUGAAAUCCUGAGGUGAUGGGUGGGGAGACAGUGGCCAUCCGCAAGUGGCUUUUAUAGCAGAUGCCCCACCCAUAUCCUGCCUAACUUACUGCUUCAGUGCACACCAGCCACCCAACUGCCACCCUGUGUCUUUCCGCCUGAGGGCUCCUCUCUUGCUCUUGGCACCUGCUUUGCCAGCCUGCAGCAGACCUGCCAUGCUGGAGGAGUAGCAUAUCCUGGGAGCAGCCCUUAACCAAGGACUGAUGAAUACCCGACUCCCGCACCCCUUACCCAGUGAUCACUGGUGGGAUAAUUCAUGGUGCCUGCCCCACCCGUGCUGGCUCCCAGAGCACCCCAGCAGGACUGAGCUCCAGUUGCCCACAGGGGCCAUUUGCUCGAUGACACCUCCCCGCCUCCCUUAUUCAUGUCCCUGCCAGUGCUUCCUGGGACUUGCCACAGAAACCACUUGCACUCAAAUUGUUGCCUUGGAGUCUGCCUGUGAGGUGGGGGUAGGCUGAACUUGGCCUCUGGUGCAGCGGACUGACAGGCAGCUACAUACCUCUGUACCAGGGGACAGAGCCUUUGGAGCCAGAGUGUCUGGGCUUCCUGGCCCUGCUCCCUCCUUGGGCAAGUGACCUAACUAUUCUGGGCUUCCAUUUUGUCAUCUGUAAAAUAGGCAUUGUAAUAGUGCCCACCUCAUAGGCUGGUUGGGAGGAUUAAGUGACAGGAUGCAUAUAAAGUAAGCACUCGAUAAAUGUUGGCUGCUAUUUCCAAAAUAUCAUCCAAACGGAAAAGAGAGCGUGGUCCUGAGGGCUGCGUACACCCUGCUUGUAGCCUGUCCUACCCCGUCCCCCGCCAGCCGAAGGUACAGCCUUGGCUGCCUGCCUGCCCCACGUCCCCCUCUGCCGCUGGGGGUUGGCGAGCUCCACCACCGACUGUCUCUGCUCUCUAAGAAUAGGUUCCCCUCACAGAUGGCAUCUCUCUGGAUCCUGCCAAAGCAUCUGGUGCCUCCAAAUGCUCCCUCCAGGGAUGAUGGCGGUGUGGUCCUCGUGCAGGGGCAGAGCUCUGGCUCCUGGGAGGAGUCCCCACUCUGUAAGAGCUGGAAAAUGGGCAUUGCCAGAGGGCCCUUGGCACACAGUCGCACCUGCUACUUUUUUUUUUUUUUUUUUUUUUUUUUUUUUUGCUUUUUAGGGUCCCACCCAUAGCCUAUGAAAGUUCCCAGGCUAGGGGUCGAAUUAGAGCCACAGCUGUCAGCUUAUACCACAGCCACAGCAAUGCCAAAUCCUAGCCAUGUCUGCAACCUGCACCUACAGCUCAUGGCAACGCUGGAUCCCAGACCCACUGAGCGAGGCCAGCGGUUGAACCCACAUUCUUAUGGAUAGUCAUUGGAUUUGCUUCUGCUGUGCCACAACGGGAACUCCACCUACUACAUUUCCAUGAGGUCUGUGACAUGCAAAGCUGUAAACAAAAAUUUUAAAGUAGGAACUCCCUUCUGGCACACUAGGUUGAGUAUCUGGCAUUGUCACUGCUGUGGCUCAGGUCAGUCUCUGGCCCAGGGUCCUCUACAUGCUACAAACGUGGCCAAAAAAAUUUUGUUUUAAUUUUUAAAAGAUCAAUAAUGUAUACACAUAGUGUGGAACUUAAAUGGUACAAAAAGUAUAUAAGAGGGAAGAGUCAAGCUCCCCCUACACCCCACCUCCACCUACCCACCCCUCAUAAGGGGCACUUACUGUCGGUACCUUCUUUUUCUUUUUUGGCCAAACUGCAGCAUAUGGAGUUCCUGGGCCAGGGAUCAGAUCUAAGCUGCAGUUGCAGUGAUGCUGGAUCCUUAACCCACUGUGCUAGGCCAGGGAUCCAACUUAUCUCCCAGCAGUUCCAAGACACUGCCAGUCCCCUUGCACCACAGCAGGAACUCCUUAGCUCUGUUUUUUUUUUGUUUUUUGUUUUUUGUUUUUUUGCCUCUCCAUGUACUGGCUUGAUGUGGGAUCUCAGUUCCCAGAUUAGGAGGCUGAACCCAAGCCAUGGUAGUAAAAGCACUGAAUCCUAGCCACUAGACCACCAGGGAACUCCCAAGAAACUUUCAUAUGGCACUGUCAUCUUGAGAACUCUCUGACAUCCCCUGCACGUUGGGUUUCUCUUUGAUCAAGACUCACAUCAAAAGUGAGUCCUUUCUUUGGGCCAAUUCCCACCCUGCACAAUCCCCCCCGCCCCGAAAGUCCCCAGAUAUCUCGGGCAGAUCCUUACUGUGAUCAUCAUGAAGAAACACCCUAGAUGUCUUGAGCCUUGUCGGAGCAGACGCCCAACACUCAGGCCCACAGGACUCCAAGUGAAAGGGAAAGGACGAAACUGAAGUUAAUUUGGGGCCCUUCUGCUGCUCUGCUCCCAAAUUAGAGGUCGUUCAGGGAACCCAUGAGAGAGCAAUGAUUCACAGGCUGAGGUGCCAAGAAGCCACCGCCUUCUGUGAUGCUCCAAGCUUCCCUCCUUCCACGUUUCGGCUCCAGAAAGGAUCCUGGAGGUGGUGUUUCUGGCUGCAUUGUUUGCUUCUCCCACUCCCGUGAGUGUGUUUUGGGUUUAUAAGAAUCAGGCUUUAAAUCUGACACCCCGCCCCCCACCCCCCAAAGCCAGCACACUGGCCUGGGCUCCACCUCCUGGAGCCAACAGGUUGUGACUUCAGAUGGGUGGCUUUCUGUGACGAAUUAGAGGCUUUAUAAAAAGACGUGUUCUUUUCCCCCUCCCCUUGUUCCAGAUUCAUAGGGAUUGAACGGGUCUUCUUUCAGCUUUGAAAAGCAUUUCAGGCAAACUAUUGCAUUUGUAGUGGAAAAGAAAUGAGAUCCUGCUGUAUAGUACAGGGAACCAUAUCUAACCACUGGUGAUGGAAUGUGAUGGAGGAUAAUUUGAAUAAAAGAAUGUAUAUAUGUGUAUGACUGGGUCACUUUGCUGUACAGCAGAAAUUGACAGAACAUGCUAAAUCAACUUUAAGAACAAAUUUUUAAAAAAAGAGGAGUUCCUGUCACAGCACAGCAGAGACGAAUCUGACUAGGAACCAUGAGGUUGCAGGUUCGAUCCCUGGCCUCGCUCAGUGGAUUAUGGAUCUGGCGUUGCCGUGAGUGUGGUAUAGGUUGAAGACAUGGCUUGGAUCUGGCUUUACUGUGCCUGUGGUGUAGGCUGGCAGCUAUAGCUCCGAUUGGACCUCUAGCCUGGGAACCUCCAUAUGCCACGGGUGUGGCCCUGAAAAGACAAAAAGACACCCCCCCCCCAAAAAAAAGGAAAUUAAAAAAAGAAAGAAAGAAAAGCAUUUUAGGUGAGAGAGUUUUAAUUUGAACCAGAGGUCUCCCUUAGGACCCACUCUUGUGAGCUGGAGGCUGCAGGGGCCCAGCUAGAGGAUAGAGGGAAAGCUGGGCUCUCUUCCAAGUAUUGUUAUUUAAAAAAACAUUUAAAAAAAAAUUUUGGCUACACUUGCGGCAUAUGGAACUUACUGGGCUAGGAAUCGAACCUGCGCUACAGCAGCGACCCCAGCUGCUGUAGUGACAAUGCCAGAUCCUUAACCUGCUGCACCGUAAGGGAACUCCUGACUGUUGUUUUUAUAGAGGGCUCCCUACUUUCUGUUACAGGUCUCUGUGCUCAUGACUUAUCUAAACAAGACAGGACCAACCUGAAAUGCAGGUUGUGGGGUCUCUCUCAGAAAUCUUGUUCCUCCUGCUCUUCCAGGCUCCCCUUUCAGCCUCUCCUCAUGGGCUGGAUGUCAGCUGAGAAAGGGAUCAAGGUCAGACGACAUCAGUUCUUUAAAGACACUCCUUGUUGAGGUGUCCUUUUUAGGUGUGUCAUGAGCCGUCGCAUCUGGUGGAGCCUAUGGACCCUGCUUAGAAUACUGCUUUUAAAACCCAUAAAACAGAGGAGUUCCCUUCAUGGCUCAGCAGUUAAUGAAACUGACUAGCAUCCAUGGGGAUGCAGGUUUGAUCCCUGGCCUCACUUAGUGGGUUAAGGAUCCCGCAUUGCCAUGAGCUGUGGUGUGGGUUGUAGACGCGGUUCAGAUCUGGCAUUGCUGUGGCUGUGGUGCAGGCCGGCAGCUGUAGCUCCGAUUUGACCCCUAGCCUGGGAACCUCCAUAUGCCGCGGGUUCGGCCCUAAAAAGCAAAGC
RNAcentral lists this long non-coding RNA (7012 nucleotides) under Sus scrofa (pig). RNAcentral's name for it is "lncRNA (ENSSSCG00050045277.1)". Lineage: Eukaryota; Metazoa; Chordata; Mammalia; Artiodactyla; Suidae. The record is from RNAcentral.